Molecule: non-coding RNA, 87 nt
Filed under: Natronincola peptidivorans
Lineage: Bacteria; Bacillati; Bacillota; Clostridia; Peptostreptococcales; Natronincolaceae
Description: Natronincola peptidovorans c-di-GMP-I riboswitch aptamer
Rfam family: c-di-GMP-I riboswitch aptamer
About the family: GEMM was predicted in a large-scale screen for bacterial structured RNA regulatory elements. Genes associated with GEMM are involved in a diverse array of functions, including chemotaxis regulation, signal transduction, secretion and chitin.
Source: Rfam by way of RNAcentral
UAUCGAUAAUAGCACAGCUAUCGAAAGAUAGCGUCGCAAAGCUAUGGGUCUAAGGAAGAAAUAUUCUAUGAUUGCCAGGUUACCGAA